RNAcentral lists this transfer RNA (71 nucleotides) under Loxodonta africana (African savanna elephant). It matches the Rfam family "tRNA". From Rfam's summary of the family: Transfer RNA (tRNA) molecules are approximately 80 nucleotides in length. Their secondary structure includes four short double-helical elements and three loops (D, anti-codon, and T loops). Lineage: Eukaryota; Metazoa; Chordata; Mammalia; Proboscidea; Elephantidae. The record is from Rfam by way of RNAcentral.
GCAGCUGUGGUUCAGUAGUAGAACUCUCACCUUCCAUGCGGGUGACCCGGGUUCAAUUCCCGACCAAUGCA